RNAcentral lists this ribosomal RNA (1471 nucleotides) under uncultured Bordetella sp. Its description in RNAcentral is "partial 16S-23S ribosomal RNA intergenic spacer". It matches the Rfam family "Bacterial small subunit ribosomal RNA". The record is from RNAcentral. Lineage: Bacteria; Pseudomonadati; Pseudomonadota; Betaproteobacteria; Burkholderiales; Alcaligenaceae.
GAGGUUCGAUCAUGGCUCGGAUUGAACGCUGGCCGGGAGUGCUUUACACAUGCGUCGAGCGGCAGCACGGACUUCGGUCUGGUGGCGAGUGGCGAACGGGUGAGUAAUGUAUCGGAACGUGCCUAGUAGCGGAUAACUACGCAGCGUAGCUAAUACCGCAUACGCCCUUCGGGGAAAGCGGGGGGACCUUCGGGCCUCGCACUAUUAGAGCGGCCGAUAUCGGAUUAGCUAGUUGGUGGGGUAACGGCUCACCAAGGCGACGAUCCGUAGCUGGUUUGAGAGGACGACCAGCCACACUGGGACUGAGACACGGCCCAGACUCCUACAGGAGGCAGCAGUGGGAAUUUUGGACAAUGGGGGAAACCCUGAUCCAGCCAUCCGCGUGUGCGAUGAAGGCCUUCGGGUUGUAAAGCACUUUUGGCAGGGAAAGAAACGGCACGGGAUAAUACCCCGUGCAACUGACGGUACCUGCAGAAUAGCACCAGUAACUACGUGCCAGCAGCCGCGGUAAUACGUAGGGUGCAAGCGUUAAUCGGAAUUACUGGGCGUAAAGCGUGCGCGGGCGGUUCGGAAGAAAGAUGUGAAAUCCCAGAGCUUAACUUUGGAACUGCAUUUUUAACUACCGAGCUAGAGUGUGUCAGAGGGAGGUGCAGUUCGCGUGUAGCAGUGAAAUGCGCUAGAUAUGCGGAGGAACACCGAUGGCGAAGGCAGCCUCCUGGGAUAACACUGACGCUCAUGCACGAAAGCGUGGGGAGCAAACAGGAUUAGAUACCCUGGUAGUCCGCCUAAACGAUGUCAACUAGCUAUUGGGGCCUUCGGGCCUUGGUAGCGCAACUAACGCGUGUGACCGCCUGGGGAGUACGGUCGCAAGAUUAAAACUCAAAGGAAUUGACGGGGACCCGCACAAGCGGUGGAUGAUGUGGAUUAAUUCCGAUGCAACGCGAAAAACCUUACCUACCCUUGACAUGUCUGGAAUCCCGAAAGAGAUUUGGGAGUGCUCGCAAGGAGAACCGGAACACAGGUGCUGCAUGGCUGUCGUCAGCUCGUGUCGUGAGAUGUUGGGUUAAGUCCCGCAACGAGCGCAACCCUUGUCAUUAGUUGCUACGAAGGCCUCUAAUGAGACUGCCGGUGACAAACCGGAGGAAGGUGGGGAUGACGUCAAGUCCUCAUGGCCCUUAUGGGUAGGGCUUCACACGUCAUACAAUGGUCGGGACAGAGGGUCGCCAACCCGCGAGGGAGCCAAUCCCAGAAACCCGAUCGUAGUCCGGAUCGCAGUCUGCUCGACUGCGUGAAGUCGGAAUGCUAAAUAAUCGCGGAUCAGCAUGUCAUGAGUAGACACGUUCCCGGGUCUUGUACACACCGCCCGUCACACCAUGGGAGUGGGUUUUACCAGAAGUAGUUAGCCUAACCGUAAGGAGGGCGAUUACCACAGUAGGAUUCAUGACUGGGGUGAAGUCGUAACAAGGGUAGC